RNAcentral lists this ribosomal RNA (570 nucleotides) under uncultured bacterium. RNAcentral's name for it is "partial 16S ribosomal RNA". It matches the Rfam family "Bacterial small subunit ribosomal RNA", at positions 355 to 914 of the family's 1533-position model. The record is from RNAcentral.
UGGGGAAUCGUUCCGCAAUGGACGAAGGUCUGACGGAGCAACGCCGCGUGAGUGAAGAAGGUUUUCGGAUCGUAAAACUCUGUCUUUUGGGGCGAACGUGAGUAUGGUGAACAAUCAUAGUCAGUGACGGUACCAAAGGAGGAAGCCACGGCUAACUACGUGCCAGCAGCCGCGGUAAUACGUAGGUGGCAAGCGUUGUCCGGAAUUAUUGGGCGUAAAGAGCGCGUAGGCGGGAUAGUCAGUCUGUUGUAAAGUGCGGGGCUCAACCCCGUGAUGGCAAUGGAAACAGCUAUUCUUGAGUGCAGGAGAGGAAAGUGGAAUUCCCAGUGUAGCGGUGAAAUGCGUAGAUAUUGGGAGGAACACCAGUGGCGAAGGCGACUUUCUGGACUGUGUCUGACGCUGAGGCGCGAAAGCCAGGGGAGCGAACGGGAUUAGAUACCCCGGUAGUCCUGGCCGUAAACGAUGGGUACUAGGUGUGGGAGGUAUCGACCCCCUUCCGUGCCGGAGUUAACGCAAUAAGUACCCCGCCUGGGGAGUACGGUCGCAAGACUGAAACUCAAAUGAAUUGAC